UUCUCUGGUGGCUUGGCUCCCCAGGUCGGGUGAAGCUACACUCGGGCUGAGCUGACUUGACGCUCUUCUGGGUGGUGCCCAGCCCACACAGGGGCUCCGUAAGUUGGGUCCUGAGAACACCUGUCUGGAUGAAGGUUUUGGAGCCAGGAGACUUCCUGCCCUCUUGCCUGCCAACCUGAACCACCGGGGUCACCCUUAGCAUAGCACAGCCCUGAGGUGACUGACCAUCCUGUGGACUGUGUGGUCCCACCUCUGGCCUGGCCACUCCCGGGGAGCCAGCAAGGACACCAGAGGCUGCCUAGCAGGUGGGCCACACUGCUUCCAGCCUUAGCCAGCCAGUGACAAGUGAAUCCAGACGUCACCCAUGUGUUUUGGAACAUUUAUGUAAGAUUGUCAUAUGAAAUGUAUUUGAGAACUGCAUUAAAACUUUUAACU
This 435-nucleotide long non-coding RNA is filed under the name Rattus norvegicus (Norway rat). Its description in RNAcentral is "long non-coding RNA NONRATT018334". Lineage: Eukaryota; Metazoa; Chordata; Mammalia; Rodentia; Muridae. The record is from RNAcentral.